RNAcentral lists this ribosomal RNA (208 nucleotides) under uncultured bacterium. RNAcentral's name for it is "partial 16S ribosomal RNA". It matches the Rfam family "Bacterial small subunit ribosomal RNA", at positions 1284 to 1500 of the family's 1533-position model. The record is from RNAcentral.
AGUCUCAGUUCGGAUUGCAGGCUGCAACUCGCCUGCAUGAAGUCGGAAUUGCUAGUAAUCGCGGAUCAGCAUGCCGCGGUGAAUACGUUCCCGGGCCUUGUACACACCGCCCGUCAAGCCAUGAAAGCCGGGGGCGCCUGAAGUCCGUGACCGCGAGGGUCGGCCUAGGGUGAAACCGGUGAUUGGGGCUAAGUCGUAACAAGGUACC